Molecule: non-coding RNA, 3112 nt
Organism: Physcomitrium patens
Lineage: Eukaryota; Viridiplantae; Streptophyta; Bryopsida; Funariales; Funariaceae
Source: RefSeq, a predicted model, not a curated record
GCCUGGCCCAGCUUGGCUCGGCACGGCACAGCUCAAGCAGAUAGAAAGUUGCUCUGCCUGGACUAGUGACGCUGACAAACGCUUCGUCCUCUAUCUUCGCUUCACGUGCAUAUCGUUAACGACGCUUCACUACGGGCGUGCUGCAACCAGGAAAAAAGUGUCUGGUAUGUUGUGUGAGGGCUAUUGGUUUUUCGGUAAUGAGAGGAUUAUUGUUUUAGUGCAUCGAGAGGUUGAAGCGGGUUGUUGCAGAGGUUAGAGGGGGCUAUGGCCGAGCUUGUUGUCGGAGGAACCGGGGAUGAAUCACCCGAUCGGUUGACCCUGACUCAGUGCAUGUCGCUACCCGACGUCGCGCAACGCAGGCAUUCUUGGCAUGUAUGUUCAAGUGCAUCGCGUUUUCAUCGUUGACUCACCCUUACGCGAUUCACCUGCAUCUAAGGUUCUGAGCUCUUGCCUUUUGAAGAUCAGGAGAUCUUUCAACAAGCUAAGCCUACGCCUGUGAAGACGGCACAUUCCGUUCUUUAGUCUCUCUUCAUACUACAGGGAUUCUCUCAAGAGCAGACAUGUCGCAGAACCAGGCUACCAUCCCGAAUUUUGAUAUCUUGCGUGCUCAGAAAAUAGAGGUCACUGAAGUGAAGUCAGGCAUUGAGCUGUAUCAGUUCAGAAGUGGACCUGAAGAUGCGAGUGAUACUGCUGCUUCGGCAUCUGCGGCUGAAAAGAGAGAAUCUCAGGAUGAUAUCAUCUGCUUCGAUUUGCCAUGUACACAAAAUACGUUUCCACUUGAACGUCGGGAGUUGCAGUCAACCAAUGUUGAGGAGGAGUCUGAAAGAUUAUCUCCAACAUUGGAAUAUGUGUCGGCACUAGCUCAUUUGACUACGUUUGGCAUCUUAGGGGUCUGCAUCCGCCAUGGACUAGAGUUGCUUUUCUCUGGGAUUGCAAAUGUUACGUCAGAAAAUUCUCCGUUGUUCAUUGAUUUACCAGCCAACAUGCUUGGGUGUUUCUUUAUGGGCUGGGUUGGAGUUUCUCUGAAAAAAGAAAUUGCCAAUUUCUCAGAAUUACUAGCAAUUGGGUUGUCCACUGGACUCAUGGGCAGUAUUACAACGUAUGCUUCAUGGAACCAAGCGAUGAUCUUCCUGGUCACCAAAGGAUUUUGGGUGCGCUCUAUCGUGAGUUUGAUUAUCGGUAUGGAGAUGUCGCAAAUGUCUCUUCUGGUAGGCAUCGAUUCUGCUACAUUCCUAAAAUCGGGACUCAUGCACCCAAAGAGAGUCCGCAUUCGUAGAGGAUGGCAAAAGCAUUGGAACUCUUCUCCUGAGACUCUUCAUCGUCGGAAGGCUGGAAUGCUGGUCUUCCUGGCAAUCAGUAUCAUUUUGUGGGCGGCUUGUCUGGUUCUCACGGUCACAGAUGUCAAUUCCUACGUACGAAGGCGUCUGUGGCUAGCAUGUAUGGUGGGUCCUCCGGGUGUGUGGUCACGGUGGCUUUUAGCCAGGCUAAACGGACAAGGAAUUGGAAGAAACCACCAUCUGAAGUGGUUGCCUAUUGGAACUCUUUUAACCAAUCUUAUUGCAUCUACCUUGGAGGCUGUGCUCGCCGUGGUGAUUCUUGUGUCACCAGAUUCUUCUUUACUGGCUAGAGGCCUACAGGUUGGGUUGCUUGGGUGCAUGAGUACUGUCUCCACCUUUACUACUGAGGUCCACUCUCUUCGCCGAGGUUCCAAGCAAUGGCGAGCGUAUGCUUACUUUUGCAUCAUGGUUUUUUCCACGUAUUGCAUGGGCGUGUUGGUGUACACUAUCGCGGUCAUGACACGUCAUUAUUCAGUGUGAUAAUCUCAUAUCGAUUAUUCAUCGAGAUAUUUGAUCCUUUCAAUUAUACGCCCAACUUGAUUGAGGCAUUCUUCUGCCCAGCAUCUGAUGCCCGCUGUCACAGAUUUAAUUGCAAUAUUUGAGACCUGAUUAGGUUUUCAUUCACAGAUAACAGGAUAAGUCUAGCGGUCACUUUCGUGUGGCUGGAGAAUAUGAGAACUUUCAUUUGGUUUUCACCGAGUACAAUUCAACCCUUCUAUUCUUGGUCAUAUUACUUCUGCCAAGCUCUACCUUAUACAAAGAUUCUUUUUUUCGCUUUAAAUGAUUAGAUCGAAAGGGAAUUUCCUCAUGCUGAGAAUAUGAAUUGUAGACACGAGUUCUCUGUCACCUCACUGUUAGCUUUAGUUAGCUAACGUUUCGAGGCAACGAGAUUUUUGAUAGAAAUAUGAAAAAUCGUACGUUAACGUGCAGAUCCCCUGGUGAAGAAUAUGAAGCUGUCGAGUUGGUCUCUCAGAUGUUGCUUCAUGGUUGAUUAUUUCUUUUUCAUUUGUCUUUUCUGCUUUUGAGGUUUAGGUUUUGUGAUCCUGUGUUAGGGCUGUAGUCUUCAUCAGGUAACAGGGAACUGCAGGGAAUCAAUCUCGAGGCAGAUGUAUGCUGUUAUCACUAAAACUAACAUGUUGGCGACUGCGAAAAUGCCUAGCACCAGACGUGUUGAAUGCGGAGGCAACUGAUGGUUCACCGUUUUGGAGUAAGAGUUGCAUUGUUGGUACGUAGACUCGGUUUUUUCCCAUGACCAUAAGUGAAACUACAGGAACGUCUAGCGUGGCCAAAGUCAGCAGAAGGAUGAUGGUUAUCAUGAUUCUGUUACUGUUAUAUCAAUCACCUUGUCUUCGGUAGAAGUUUAAACCUGCGUUGACUGUUAAACGAUCCACUUGAAAAAUAAGAUUAAAUGAUGUUGCUUCUGCCUAAUUUGCUGAUAAAGGAGCGGCCGUAGUUUCAACUAUCAUAACCGCAGUGAUAGCCGUCUUUCCUAUUGUGAUGUCCUUAAUUCUAGUUAUCAGCGAACGUCUCUUCAAUGCACUGUUACGUAGGGGGUGCUACUGUUCUUCCAACUCCAACCGAGCAAGACCCAAGUUCAGACCUGUGACGAGGUGAUUUACGUAAUCAAGUUAUUAUGCUUCCAUUGAAAACGUUGGCGAAUUCCAAGCUGAUUCAUGAAAGGAAUAGCGACCAAGUGAAGAUAAGUGAACCCAAAUUAGUGUAGUUCUACGAUUUGCGGGGAUACAGUGAUAGCAAAAGAAGAUUCAGCAAGUAUG